RNAcentral lists this ribosomal RNA (636 nucleotides) under Salmonella enterica subsp. enterica. RNAcentral describes it as "partial 23S ribosomal RNA". It matches the Rfam family "Bacterial large subunit ribosomal RNA", at positions 1 to 668 of the family's 2925-position model. RNAcentral also lists the same sequence under 2 other names. Lineage: Bacteria; Pseudomonadati; Pseudomonadota; Gammaproteobacteria; Enterobacterales; Enterobacteriaceae. The record is from RNAcentral.
GGGUUGUGAGGUUAAGCGACUAAGCGUACACGGUGGAUGCCCUGGCAGUCAGAGGCGAUGAAGGGCGUGCUAAUCUGCGAUAAGCGCCGGUAAGGUGAUAUGAACCGUUAUAACCGGCGAUACCCGAAUGGGGAAACCCAGUGUGACUCGUCACACUAUCAUUAACUGAAUCCAUAGGUUAAUGAGGCGAACCGGGGGAACUGAAACAUCUAAGUACCCCGAGGAAAAGAAAUCAACCGAGAUUCCCCCAGUAGCGGCGAGCGAACGGGGAGGAGCCCAGAGCCUGAAUCAGCAUGUGUGUUAGUGGAAGCGUCUGGAAAGGCGCGCGAUACAGGGUGACAGCCCCGUACACAAAAGCGCAUGUGCUGUGAGCUCGAUGAGUAGGGCGGGACACGUGGUAUCCUGUCUGAAUAUGGGGGGACCAUCCUCCAAGGCUAAAUACUCCUGACUGACCGAUAGUGAACCAGUACCGUGAGGGAAAGGCGAAAAGAACCCCGGCGAGGGGAGUGAAAAAGAACCUGAAACCGUGUACGUACAAGCAGUGGGAGCACAGGUUUACCUGUGUGACUGCGUACCUUUUGUAUAAUGGGUCAGCGACUUAUAUUCUGUAGCAAGGUUAACCGUAUAGGGGAGCCG